AAAAUACUCCCUCCGUCUCAAAAUUAUUGUUUUAGAUUUGUCUAGAUGUGAAUGUAUCUCUAGUCACAUUUUAGUAUUUAGAUACACUCAUUUCUAAACAAACAUAAGACAAGAAUUUUGAGACGGAGGAAGUAGUAA
Hordeum vulgare subsp. vulgare (domesticated barley) is the source of this 138-nucleotide non-coding RNA. The record is from Rfam. NCBI's taxonomy places the organism in Eukaryota, Viridiplantae, Streptophyta, Magnoliopsida, Poales, Poaceae.